GAUGAAGAACUCAGUGAAAUGCGAUAAGUAAUGUGAAUUGCAGAAUUCAGUGAAUCAUCGAAUCUUUGAACGCACAUUGCGCCCGCUAGUAUUCUGGCGGGCAUGCCUGUCCGAGCGUCAUUUCAACCCUCAAGCCCCCGGGCUUGGUGUUGGGGAUCGGCGAGCCUCCGCGCCCGCCGUCCCCUAAAUCUAGUGGCGGUCUCGCUGUAGCUUCCUCUGCGUAGUAGCACACCUCGCACUGGGAAACAGCGCGGCCACGCCGUUAAACCCCCAACUUCUGAACGUUUGACCUCGGAUCAGGUAGGAAUACCCGCUGAACUUAAGCAUAUCAAUAAGCGGAGGA
This 343-nucleotide unclassified non-coding RNA is filed under the name soil metagenome. RNAcentral describes it as "partial contains 5.8S ribosomal RNA, internal transcribed spacer 2, and large subunit ribosomal RNA". The stretch from base 1 to 120 matches the Rfam family "5.8S ribosomal RNA", at positions 35 to 154 of the family's 154-position model. The record is from RNAcentral.